Molecule: transfer RNA, 119 nt
Filed under: Leucosporidium creatinivorum
Lineage: Eukaryota; Fungi; Basidiomycota; Microbotryomycetes; Leucosporidiales; Leucosporidiaceae
Description: tRNA-Pro
Source: RNAcentral
GGCCACUUGGUGUAGUGGCAGCAUACUCCCUUCGGGCUUUACUAAAGGUAGCCAGGUUGACGUUUCAACCAAGCACAAGACUUUGGGAGUGGUCGUCGGUUCAAUCCCGGCAGUGGCCC